GCCGAGGUGGCGGAAUUGGUAGACGCGCUAGCUUCAGGUGUUAGUGGGGGAAACCCCGUGAAGGUUCAAGUCCUUUUCUCGGCACCA
This 87-nucleotide transfer RNA is filed under the name Thioflexithrix psekupsensis. RNAcentral describes it as "Thioflexothrix psekupsii tRNA-Leu". It matches the Rfam family "tRNA". Rfam says of the family: Transfer RNA (tRNA) molecules are approximately 80 nucleotides in length. Their secondary structure includes four short double-helical elements and three loops (D, anti-codon, and T loops). Lineage: Bacteria; Pseudomonadati; Pseudomonadota; Gammaproteobacteria; Thiotrichales. The record is from RNAcentral.